This 280-nucleotide unclassified non-coding RNA is filed under the name uncultured Chaetothyriales. RNAcentral's name for it is "sequence contains 5.8S rRNA gene, ITS2, 28S rRNA gene". The stretch from base 1 to 52 matches the Rfam family "5.8S ribosomal RNA", at positions 103 to 154 of the family's 154-position model. The record is from RNAcentral. Lineage: Eukaryota; Fungi; Ascomycota; Eurotiomycetes; Chaetothyriales.
AACGCAUAUUGCGCCCUCUGGUAUUCCGGGGGGCAUGCCUGUUCGAGCGUCAUUAUCACCCCUCAAGCCCGGCUUGUUGUUGGACGUCGGCGGCGGCCUUUAGUGGCGUACCGCCCGUCUCAAAGAUAAUGACGGCGUCUGUGAGGACACCUGUACACUGAGCUUUCGGGCACGUACUAGGCUUGACACUCGCAGACCCGGUCUACAGGGUUCGCUUCGGCGGCCCAACUUUUUUACCAAGGUUGACCUCGGAUCAGGUAGGAAUACCCGCUGAACUUAA